Molecule: non-coding RNA, 214 nt
Organism: Pelobates cultripes (western spadefoot toad)
Lineage: Eukaryota; Metazoa; Chordata; Amphibia; Anura; Pelobatidae
Source: the annotation of a GenBank genome assembly
AACUUUAUGUGACUGUCCAAUCAGAGGCAUUCCAAUGCAGCUCAAGGAGAAGUCUUUGCAAGGCAGAUGCUUUGAGCAAGUGCUGCCUCUUGAAUUUAACUCCACAAAGCUAAACUACCAGGAAGUUACAGAACCUGUUGAUUGUCAGCCACGGGGAUGUAAUAUUUUUUUAAAAAGAGGACCCACUCUUCACACAUACAGCUUUUCAGCAAGC